Molecule: ribosomal RNA, 423 nt
Filed under: uncultured bacterium
Lineage: Bacteria
Description: bacterial SSU rRNA
Rfam family: Bacterial small subunit ribosomal RNA
Source: RNAcentral
CAAGACCUGCGCUUUUGGAGCGGCCGAUGCCUGAUUAGCUUGUUGGUAAGGUAAAAGCUUACCAAGGCUUCGAUCAGUAGCUGGUCUGAGAGGACGGCCAGCCACACUGGGACUGAGACACGGCCCAGACUCCUACGGGAGGCAGCAGUGGGGAAUUUUGGACAAUGGGGGCAACCCUGAUCCAGCCAUGCCGCGUGAGUGAAGAAGGCCUUCGGGUUGUGAAGCUCUUUCAGCCGGAACGAAACGGUUACGGUUAAUACCCGUGAUUACUGACGGUACCGGAAGAAGAAGCACCGGCUAACUACGUGCCAGCAGCCGCGGUAAUACGUAGGGUGCGAGCGUUAAUCGGAAUUACUGGGCGUAAAGCGUGCGCAGGUGGUUUUGUAAGUCAGAUGUGAAAGCCCCGGGCUCAACCUGGGAACU